CUAGCAUAUCAAUAAGCGGAGGAAAAGAAAAUACCAAUGAUUUCCCUAGGAACGGCGAGUGAAGAGGAAAGAGCUCAAAGUUGGAACCUGUUUGGCUUAGCUAAACCGGAUUGUAAACUGUAGAAGUGUUUUCCAGACACGCCUGGUAAAAAAGUCCUUUGGAACAGGGCAUCAUAGAGGGUGAGAAUCCCGUCAUUGGCCAGAGCUGUUGUCUUUUGUGAUACAUUUUCAAAGAGUCAGGUUGUUUGGGAAUGCAGCCUAAAUUGGGUGGUAAAUCUCACCUAAAGCUAAAUAUUUGCGAGAGACCGAUAGCGAACAAGUACCGUGAGGGAAAGAUGAAAAGAACUUUGAAAAGAGAGUUAAACAGUAUGUGAAAUUGUUAAAAGGGAACCGUUUGGAGCCAGACUGGCUUAACUGUAAUCAAUCUAGGCUUCGGCCUGGAUGCACUUGCGGUUUAUGCCGGCCAACGACAGUUUAGUUUGAGGGAAAAAAUUACAUUGAAUGUGGCCCUUCGGGGCGUUAUAGCUUUGUAAAAAAUACCUUGGACUGGACUGAGGAACGCAGUGAAUGCCUUUAGGCAAGAUUGCUGGGUGCUUUCGCUAAUAAAUGCUAGAAUUUCUGCUUCGGGUGGUGCUAGUGUUUAAAGGAGGAACUCGCCUAGUAUAUUUUUUAUUCGCUUAGGUUGUUGGCUUAAUGACUCUAAAUGACCCGUCUUGAAACACGGACCAAGGAGUCCACCAUUAGUGCAAGUAUUUGGGUGACAAACCCAUAUGCGCAAGGAAACUGAUUGAUACGAAGGCGCAAGCUGGCAGUAUCACCCGGCGUUGACGUUUUAUACUGAACUGACCGAGGUAAAGCACUAAUGAUGGGACCCGAAAGAUGGUGAACUAUGCCUGAAUAGGGUGAAGCUGGAGGAA
Molecule: ribosomal RNA, 917 nt
Filed under: Mucor endophyticus
Lineage: Eukaryota; Fungi; Mucoromycota; Mucoromycetes; Mucorales; Mucoraceae
Description: LSU rRNA
Rfam family: Eukaryotic large subunit ribosomal RNA
Source: RNAcentral